UACGUAGGGGGCUAGCGUUGUCCGGAAUCAUUGGGCGUAAAGCGCGUGUAGGCGGUCCGGUAAGUCCGCUGUGAAAGUCGGGGGCUCAACCCUCGGAUGCCGGUGGAUACUGUCGAGCUUGAGUCCGGUAGGGGAGUGUGGAAUUCCUGGUGUAGCGGUGAAAUGCGCAGAUAUCAGGAGGAACACCGAUGGCGAAGGCAGCACUCUGGGCCGGCACUGACGCUGAGGAGCGAAAGCUAGGGGAGCAAACAGG
Molecule: ribosomal RNA, 253 nt
Filed under: uncultured bacterium
Lineage: Bacteria
Description: partial 16S ribosomal RNA
Rfam family: Bacterial small subunit ribosomal RNA
Source: RNAcentral